This 388-nucleotide transfer-messenger RNA is filed under the name Microcoleus sp. FACHB-831. It matches the Rfam family "transfer-messenger RNA". Rfam says of the family: Bacterial tmRNA, also known as 10Sa RNA or SsrA, is named for its dual tRNA and mRNA-like properties. Its role is to liberate the mRNA from a stalled ribosome. To accomplish this part of the tmRNA is used as a reading frame that ends in a translation stop signal. The record is from Rfam by way of RNAcentral. Lineage: Bacteria; Bacillati; Cyanobacteriota; Cyanophyceae; Oscillatoriales; Microcoleaceae.
GGGCCUGCAAUGGUUUCGACGUGUUGGCGAACGUUACUCUGUGAUUCAGGUCGAGAGUGAGUCUUCUCUCGUAAAUACAAGGUUCAAAAACAAUAAGUGCAAACAACAUUGUACCUUUUGCUCGUAAAGCAGCUCCUGUAGCUGUCUAAAAACCUCUAACAGGUUCGAGCGUUUGUAGUCUGACUCCGUUAAAGGCUAUAGACAACCCCCAACGGACGCUCUAGUAAGUUUUCUCUGGUAGACUUGCUAGCUAAGAACUCACCAAAGAAUCCCACCGUCCGGGAUAAGGGACGGUUCCCGCCCAGAGGGUUAGAUGGGAUAAACCUGUGAACGAGCGGGGUGCUAAUACCCAGCAGGGACGGCAGUUCGAUUCUGCCCAGGUCCACUA